Molecule: non-coding RNA, 103 nt
Organism: Acanthosepion pharaonis
Lineage: Eukaryota; Metazoa; Mollusca; Cephalopoda; Sepiida; Sepiidae
Source: the annotation of a GenBank genome assembly
UACGGUCACAUGACGUUGAAACACCGGUUCUCGUACGAUGACCGAAUUUAAGCAACGUCGAGCCUGGUCAGUACCUAGAUGGGUGACCACCUAAGAAGAUCAG